GACGAACGCUGGCGGCGUGCUUAACACAUGCAAGUCGAACGGUAAGGCCCUUCGGGGUACACGAGUGGCGAACGGGUGAGUAACACGUGGGUGAUCUGCCCUGCACUUCGGGAUCAGCCUGGGAAACUGGGUCCAAUACCGGAUAGGACCACUGCCUGCAUGGGUGGUGGUGGGAAGCUUGUGCGGGUGGGAUGGGCCCGCAGCCUAUCAGCUUGUUGGUGGGGUGAUGGCCUACCAAGGCGACGACGGGUAGCCGGCCUGAGAGGGUGACCGGCCACACUGGGACUGAGAUACGGCCCAGACUCCUACGGGAGGCAGCAGUGGGGAAUAUUGCACAAUGGGCGCAAGCCUGAUGCAGCGACGCCGCGUGAGGGAUGACGGCCUUCGGGUUGUAAACCUCUUUCAGCACCGACGAAGCGCAAGUGACGGUAGGUGCAGAAGAAGGACCGGCCAACUACGUGCCAGCAGCCGCAGUAA
Molecule: ribosomal RNA, 477 nt
Filed under: uncultured bacterium
Lineage: Bacteria
Description: partial 16S ribosomal RNA
Rfam family: Bacterial small subunit ribosomal RNA
Source: RNAcentral